UUUGAGGGUUCUUCCUCGAUGGAUUUGCUUAUGUCUGGACUUGAAUCAUGUUGUAUAAUAUCCUCAGGCUUCACUUGCAAGGAGUCAAUAUGUUUCUGUACAUCUGUUUCACACAUACUUUCUGCAUUCGCCCCAUUUUCCAAUUCAGGUGUUAUUGACUCUUCGCCCCUAUUUUUAGGUUCAUCGUUAUUUCCUGAUUCCCUGGCACCGGUUUCCUCUGGAGCUUCUAUCAAAGAGUUUUGAUUGUCUUCUUCCAAACGUUCCUCAUCUUCCUGUGGAACACGUUUUGCAAUAUCCUACAAUAUGAAUACAAAGAGAUUACGAAUUGUGUAAAGUUUGGAGAAUGAGUUUUUGUUUUUCAUAUUCUUUAAGCUUGCUAUUACUUUCAUCUACAUGAUAAAAUAAACUUCAAGUAGUAGAGUUCAACUGAAAUUACCUGAGCCUCUUGAGUUUCCUCGCCUAUUGCAUCAACAAUCUUUUCUGUUAUUUUGUUACUUGAGCUAUCUUCUGGAUGUAGGAUUUGCUCCACAGUGGAACUUCUUUCAGUGUCUUGACAUGGAGCAAAUGCCUUGAUAUCCUCAGCUGCUACUUGAGAGGAGUCAAUAGGAUCCUCAACCUCUGCUACUUCCUCAAGCAACGUGCUUUCUGUGAUGUCAUCUUUUGGAGCAUCUGAUAAUGAUGUGCUUUCACUAACCUCUACCGAAUGUUCAUCCUGUUCCAGUAGUAAGCCAUCUACUUGGUUUUGUGAAUCUUCUUUAGUGUCCUCAUCUGGAGUUGCUGCAAAGUUCUGCAUCCAAGUAUAAAACAUUUGUUCAAUAUGUUUAUCUUGCAGAUAUAAAUACUUGUUAACUUUUUUCCAGCAUAACAUAGCAAUUGAUUUUUCAAAAAUUUGUCCACUAAAUUUGUGAUAAUAAAGUCAGCUUACUACUAUGAUUCUCACCUUAUCCUCAAGAGUUUCUUUCUUGAGAUCAGUUGAAUCAAGUGUUUUUGUAUAUUUUUCGUCAUACAUGGUUUCAUGAGAAUCUGUAGUCGGGGCUUGCUCUUCUAAAUGGCUUGCUUCUCUAUCUUGACCUGAAGAAGUAUCUUUAAUAUCCUCAUCUGCUGCCUGCAAUGACUCAAUAUGUACUUCUUCCUUUACCGGAGCACAUUCUAUUUUUUGCUCAUCUUCAUGCAAGUUGGCUUUUACAGUGUUUUCAUAUGCAAAUUUGGCCUCAUGGGUUGUAGUUGGUUUGUCAUCAUUGAUCUUUUCUGCUGGAGCUUCUUCGGAAGAAGGUUCUUGCAAGCCAUCCACUUGAAUUGGUGACUUAUCCUCGCUAUCUCCAUUUGGAACGCUUGUUACAGCAUCCUGUAAUGAUAAUAACUUAAGAAUUUUACAACACCCGAAGGGGACGUUUACUUUGCAUGAUUGAUAAGAUGCAUGAUUGAGUAUUUUUAUCCUCAAGAGUAGGAUUUCUCCAAUCCCACCCUUAUAAUGGGAAAUUUAUCAAGCAAAAUUAGCUCAAAUGAUGAAAAUAAUCAAGAGCCUUGGGAGUUUCAAUCCAUCAAAGUAAACAAGGUUACUAUUUUUAUCUAUCAAGGCUAAUCCUCCAAAGUAAAUGCCCCCCUAAGGGUAUUGUUUACUUGCAUGUCAUAUAACCAACUCAAAUAUCCUAAUCAGUAGUUAUGUUUGCAUCAGUAGAAUUUAGUUUGAUUCUCACCUUAUCCGUGGGAGUUUGAUCCUCCUCCCCUGUUGCAUUAUCAGGUAGCUCCUCUUUGUUAUCAUGGAUGAUUGCUUCCUCAUCAACAGAACUUGUUUCCCUGUCUCCACUUAAACGACGUGUUUCAAUAUCCUGAGUUGCUACUUGCAAUGACUUGAGGGGUUCUUCUUUCAUGAUCAAACCGCCUUCACUAACUUUUGGUGACUCCUUAUCAUUGGCACUCUCAGCUGAAGCUUCGAUCGACGGAUUUUCUUCUUCAAUUGCCAUGCUAUCUUCCUUGUUGCAAUCUGGAAUAUCUUUUGCAACAUCCUGUGGUAAAAAUAAAAAUUAUAAAAGUUGUAUUCACCAAAAAUCUGAAGAAGGAUAUUGCUUUGACUCUUUUCGUUUGGGAUCAUGCCUAGCCAUUUAUUGUUUACUAGCGUGGCAAACAAGUUAAUGCUGAUAAGUUAAGUACAUUAUUCACCUCUGUCGCAACACUUUCCUCAUUUGUGUGAGCCGCGUCAACAGAUCCUCUCUCUGCCUUGUCAGUUGAAAUUUCUCGUGGAUCUGUAUUUGAGGGUUCUUCCUCGAUGGGUUUGUUUAUGUCUGGACUUGAAUCAUGCUGUUUAAUAUCCUCAGGCUUGACUUCCAAGGACUCAAUAUGUUUCUCCACAUCUGUUUCAUACCUACUUUCUGUGUUCUCCCCAACUUCCAAUUCAGGUGUUAUUGACUCUUCGCCCCUAUUUUUAGGUUCAUCGACAUUUCCUGAUUCCCUGGCCUCGGUUUCCUCUGGAGCUUCUAUCGAAGAAUUUUGAUUGUCUUCUUCCAAACGUUCCUCAUCUUCCCUCGCUGAGCAAUUCACUUGGGUUACCGAGCUCUCUUCAAUGUGCUCAUGUGGAGUUUCUGUUGCAACAUUCUGCAGCCAGAUAUUAGAUAUAAACUGAUAAGCUAUAAGCUACAGGUAACUUAUUUCAUUUGUUUACUUUCUUCUUUCACACAAGCAACAUUAUUCAAAAAUGUAUAAUCUUGUAAAGAAAAUAUACAUUCUACUUGUGAUGCUUAGUCUUACCUCAACCUCAGGAACGAGAUCCUUCUUGUCUGCUGCACCAGUGAUUUUGUUGCUUGUAAUUGUUUGGGAGUUGUCUUCUAAGCUUCGCUCCUCAACUGAACAAGUUGUUUCUAUAUCUGCAGUUGAAGUAGAUGUUUCAUGAUCCUCAGGCUGCAAAUCCUCUUUCUCUGGUGUAGUACAGUCUGUACUCUUUUCAUCGUUGGGCAAUUCAACUUUGCUUGGGUAUUCAUCGCUAGUUUUUGGUUCAAGCAGAACUGAAUCUUUAUCACUGGCCUCGUCUUUUGACUUUUCAGUUAGUGAUGGUCUUUCCGGUUCCUCUUCCA
Molecule: long non-coding RNA, 3068 nt
Filed under: Salvia miltiorrhiza (redroot sage)
Lineage: Eukaryota; Viridiplantae; Streptophyta; Magnoliopsida; Lamiales; Lamiaceae
Description: long non-coding RNA (SMIL_LNC004530)
Source: RNAcentral